UCUACGGGAGGCAGCAGUGAGGAAUAUUGGUCAAUGGACGAGAGUCUGAACCAGCCAAGUAGCGUGAAGGAUGACUGCCCUAUGGGUUGUAAACUUCUUUUAUAUCGGAAUAAAAUGUUCCACGUGUGGGAUUUUGUAUGUACCAUAUGAAUAAGGAUCGGCUAACUCCGUGCCAGCAGCCGCGGUAAUACGGAGGAUCCGAGCGUUAUCCGGAUUUAUUGGGUUUAAAGGGAGCGUAGGUGGAUUGUUAAGUCAGUUGUGAAAGUUUGCGGCUCAACCGUAAAAUUGCAGUUGAAACUGGCAGUCUUGAGUACAGUAGAGGUGGGCGGAAUUGGGGGUGUAGCGGUGAAAUGCUUAGAUAUCACGAAGAACUCGGAUGGCGAAGGCAGCUAAUUGGACUGCAACUGACACUGAGGCUCGAAAGUGUGGGUAUCAAACAGGAUUAGAUACCCCUGUAGU
This 459-nucleotide ribosomal RNA is filed under the name uncultured bacterium. RNAcentral describes it as "partial 16S ribosomal RNA". It matches the Rfam family "Bacterial small subunit ribosomal RNA", at positions 338 to 794 of the family's 1533-position model. The record is from RNAcentral.